UUUACACUUCCUCUCCUCUGGAAUCUCCUCCAACCACAUCUUAUUAUCCAGGACAUAGACAGGCCUACGGAAGACAGCAUUUAGUUAUACGGGCCUGAGGUGGGCAACAUUUAGUUAUACGGGCCUGGGGUGGACAACAUUUAGUUAUACGGGCCUGGGGUGGACAACAUUUAGUUAUACGGGCCUGGGGUGGGCAACAUUUAGUUAUACGGGCCUGGGGUGGGCAACAUUUAGUUAUACGGGCCUGGGGUGGACAACAUUUAGUUAUACGGGCCUGGGGUGGACAACAUUUAGUUAUACGGGCCUGGGGUGGGCAACAUUUAGUUAUACGGGCCUGGGGUGGACAACAUUUAGUUAUAGGGGCCUGGGGUGGACAACAUUUGGUUAUAGGGGCCUGGGGUGGACAACAUGGUGGACAACAUUUAGUUAUAGGGGCCUGAGGUGGGCAACAUUUAGUUAUAGGGGCCUGAGGUGGGCAACAUUUAGUUAUAGGGGCCUGAGGUGGGCAACAUUUAGUUAUAGGGGCCUGAGGUGGGCAACAUUUAGUUAUAGGGGCCUGAGGUGGGCAACAUUUAGUUAUAGGGGCCUGAGGUGGGCAACAUUUAGUUAUAGGGGCCUGAGGUGGGCAACAUUUAGUUAUAGGGGCCUGAGGUGAGCAACAUUUAGUUAUAGGGGCCUGAGGUGGGCAACAUUUAGUUAUAGGGGCCUGGGGUGGACAACAUUUAGUUAUAGGGGCCUGGGGUGGACAACAUUUAGUUAUAGGGGCCUGAGGUGGGCAACAUUUAGUUAUAGGGGCCUGAGGUGGGCAACAUUUAGUUAUAGGGGCCUGAGGUGGGCAACAUUUAGUUAUAGGGGCCUGAGGUGGGCAACAUUUAGUUAUAGGGGCCUGAGGUGGGCAACAUUUAGUUAUAGGGGCCUGAGGUGACAACAUUUAGUUAUAGGGGCCUGAGGUGGGCAACAUUUGGUUAUACGGGCCUGAGGUGGGCAACAUUUAGUUAUAGGGGCCUGAGGUGGGCAACAUUUAGUUAUAGGGGCCUGAGGUGGGCAACAUUUGGUUAUACGGCCUGGGGUGGACAACAUUUAGUUAUACGGGCCUGGGGUGGACAACAUUUGGUUAUAGGGGCCUGGGGUGGACAACAUUUAGUUAUAGGGGCCUGGGGUGGGCAACAUUUAGUUAUAGGGGCCUGAGGUGACAACAUUUAGUUAUAGGGGCCUGAGGUGGGCAACAUUUGGUUAUAGGGGCCUGAGGUGGGCAACAUUUGGUUAUAGGGGCCUGAGGUGGACAACAUUUGAGUCUCUCACUCAAACUGCACUGGAAUAGUCUCCUAUUCUACACUGUACAUAUACUUUACAUUUCCCAAAAGAGAAAUCACAAUCUAUGGCCCAAAUAGUUAAAUUUUUACAGAAUCUCAAUUCAAAGACAUCCUCUCUGCUGUC
Molecule: long non-coding RNA, 1437 nt
Organism: Oncorhynchus keta (chum salmon)
Lineage: Eukaryota; Metazoa; Chordata; Actinopteri; Salmoniformes; Salmonidae
Exons: 8
Source: RefSeq, a predicted model, not a curated record